AAUGUAAUCGCUUCGCCAUUUUAUCUUGAUUAUUGUCCUCUAUUAACUCAGCACUUCAGAAAUAGCACUUUUUGUGAUGUCACAGUGACAAUCAAAGUCUAUUCAGUUCAUUUUUGUGCCAAAUUUGAAGAAAUUCUUUUUAAGAAUGGAAGAAAACCGAACUCCUCUGGUCACAGCUGUCACACAUACAUUUAAAGAAGAAGAAAAAAAAGUUCCUUCUAAUGUUCCCAACAUGUGGAUCUGGUCCUUCAUCAAAGUCAACGCAACAAGAGAGACGUUCUUCCCGGAGGACGAAGGCACGGAGGAAGCGCCUCGCUGCAGCGUCGCUCUUCAGCUCGUGGUCGCUCGGGGGGGCGAGGGCUCCACCUCGGCCCGCCGCCGCCGCCGCUGUCGAGCAAUCAUUUACGAGCCGUCAGAUUCUACGACCUGCAGCGGGCCGGUUUUAAAUACUACAAGACCCAAGAAACUCUGCCGCUGUCGCCAUGAAGAAGAACCCAGUCAGAGCCGUGAGUCAGAGGGAGCGUUGUUGUUGCAGUCGGGACACAAAACACGGUGCCACAGUUGGUGAAUUCGCCCCAAAAUCGAGCCAGAAUUUCAAAGGCAAUGGCUCUGUAAUGUGGAAGGAGUUGCUCGAAGUCAAGAACCCACAAGCGUUUCAGCAUCUUACAGCUCUUUUGGGUUUUUAUGUGGCACACAGCGCUACUCUUUGUUUUCCCUCUCACCAGUAAAAUAAAAAAAGCUGAGUCAGACAGCAACCUCCA
Long non-coding RNA from Pseudoliparis swirei, 761 nucleotides. RefSeq lists it as uncharacterized. NCBI's taxonomy places the organism in Eukaryota, Metazoa, Chordata, Actinopteri, Perciformes, Liparidae. The record is from RefSeq and is a predicted model, not a curated record. The transcript has 2 exons.